GUUAGUUUCAGCAGGAUUUAGAUUUAGAGAAGGUCUCUAAUGGUGGAUAUCUGCUUUAUAUUACUUUCCUCCGUCUGGAGCUCCAGCUGAAGAACCUUUCUGAUCACAUCAGAUCACAGUUUGAUUUAAAGUCAGCUUCUUCAUCACUCUGAAGAGGAGAUCUCAACACUUCAGGAGGACCAGGAGACCUGGAGAUGGGGGCUAGAGGGUCAACACCACCAACACCACCAUCGACUUUUAUCGACUUUUUUCGACAUACUAUAAUAUGACUUUUUUAGACUUUUUUCGACAUAAUAUACUAUGGCUUUUUAUGACAUACUAUACUAUGACUUUUAAAAACUUUUUUCUACAUAUAGGCCAGUGGUGGCCUAAAGGUUAAAGAAGAAGUUUUGUUAGCGGGAGGUUGCUGGUUCAAUCCCCAGACCGACAGGAUCAGGAUCUGGGAGGUCUUAGUUUUUCCUCCAGAGCUGAGAGAGACUUUCAUCUUUCAGUCGCCCCACUCAGGUUGUUGGAGCUGUUUUUAAACUUCCUGCAGCUUCUUCCUCUCUCUGGUUCAUCGUGUCAGUCAGCAGAGGAGACGGUCCCGAGGAGAAGGGCGCCGGCUGCCACCGUAGACACCGCUGGUUCGAUCCCAGCCAGAGGAUCACAUGGUGCAGAGAACCCUGACCACAAAGAAGAUU
Perca fluviatilis (European perch) is the source of this 680-nucleotide long non-coding RNA. RefSeq lists it as uncharacterized. The record is from RefSeq and is a predicted model, not a curated record. Lineage: Eukaryota; Metazoa; Chordata; Actinopteri; Perciformes; Percidae. The transcript is spliced from 3 exons.